RNAcentral lists this ribosomal RNA (440 nucleotides) under uncultured bacterium. RNAcentral describes it as "partial 16S ribosomal RNA". It matches the Rfam family "Bacterial small subunit ribosomal RNA", at positions 338 to 795 of the family's 1533-position model. The record is from RNAcentral.
CCUACGGGAGGCAGCAGUGGGGAAUAUUGGACAAUGGGGGAAACCCUGAUCCAGCGACGCCGCGUGAGUGAAGAAGUAUUUCGGUAUGUAAAGCUCUAUCAGCAGGGAAGAAAAUGACGGUACCUGACUAAGAAGCCCCGGCUCACUACGUGCCAGCAGCCGCGGUAAUACGUAGGGGGCAAGCGUUAUCCGGAUUUACUGGGCGGAAAGGGAGCGUAGACGGUGCAGCAAGUCUGAUGUGAAAGGUCGGGGCUCAACCCCGGGACUGCAUUAGAAACUGUUGAACUGGAGUACAGGAGAGGUGAGCGGAACUCCUAGUGUAGCGGUGAAAUGCGUAGAUAUUAGGAGGAACACCAGUGGCGAAGGCGGCUCACUGGACUGUAACUGACGCUGAGGCUCGAAAGCGUGGGGAGCAAACAGGAUUAGAUACCCGUGUAGUC